UGGGGAAUAUUAGAAAUGGACGAAAGUCUGAUCUAGCAACACCGCGUGUGCGAAGAAGGCCUUCGGGUCGUAAAGCACUUUUUGGAAGGAAUAGGAAGGAAUGUACUUCCAGAAUAAGUCUCGGCUAACUACGUUCCAGCAGCCGCGGUAACACGUAGGAGGCGAACGUUAUCCGGAUUUACUGGGCGUAAAGCGCGUGUAGGUGGUUCUGUAAGUAGGGCGUGAAAGCUCCCGGCUCAACUGGGAGAGGCCGUUCUAAACUACAGAGCUAGAGGAUGGUAGAGGGAGGUGGAAUUCCAGGUGUAGCGGUGGAAUGCGCAGAUAUCCGGAGGAACACCAGUGGCGAAAGCGGCCUCCUGGACCAUUCCUGACACUCAGACGCGAAAGCUAGGGUAGCAAACG
Molecule: ribosomal RNA, 402 nt
Filed under: uncultured prokaryote
Description: bacterial SSU rRNA
Rfam family: Bacterial small subunit ribosomal RNA
Source: RNAcentral